UCCAGUAGUAGUCAACUGUCCAGAGCAGUACUGCGCCUGUGAUAGUGUUACCCUGCUGGGAGAUAAAGCUCAGUCAUUUCUUCUGGCUGCUGUUGUCACCGUUCUGGAGGCAGCUGAUGCCAAAAAGGAAUGGUCUUGUGCUUCCCUGAGAGCGCGCUGAAGAUCUGCUGUGCCUCUUUAGUGCUAGUCUGGAAGCAUACAUU
Athene cunicularia (burrowing owl) is the source of this 203-nucleotide small nucleolar RNA. Its record names the gene SNORA74. It matches the Rfam family "Small nucleolar RNA SNORA74". From Rfam's summary of the family: U19 belongs to the H/ACA class of snoRNAs. snoRNAs bind a number of proteins (including dyskerin, Gar1p and Nop10p in the case of the H/ACA class) to form snoRNP complexes. The record is from Ensembl. Lineage: Eukaryota; Metazoa; Chordata; Aves; Strigiformes; Strigidae.